This is a long non-coding RNA of Dreissena polymorpha, 1099 nucleotides long. RefSeq lists it as uncharacterized. The transcript has 2 exons. The record is from RefSeq and is a predicted model, not a curated record. Lineage: Eukaryota; Metazoa; Mollusca; Bivalvia; Myida; Dreissenidae.
UGUUCCCCAGAAAUAUGAGAAAUGUAAUUCCGCCCAAUAACUUGUGUAUUUAUGCCAACAACGCCCAGCGGCUGUGAAACUUUAUUCGCAUGUUAUCUAUCGGGAAAGACGUUUGCUUACGGUUUCAUAAGAAUAUUUUUCAGGAGAAUUUCAUAGGAAUAGAAUCGUCAACAUUUUGUUUUGCCGGCGUCAUGUACAGACGGAUUCUAGUGUCCCUGAUUGUAGCAAUUUUGUGUUGCGUCGUCUUUGUCAACGCCCAAAGAAACCGGAAACUGUGUCACCAGUAUGACGGAAUCUGCCAGGAUGCGCGGUGGACCACGGCUCUGGGCUUUCCCACCUGCGCCACGCUGAAGGCCGGAUACACCUGCAAGGACAUCCAUGGCUUAUGUCGGUGUGUUGCGAGCCACAGCGGGCGAUGGUUCAUGACCGGGGGCGAUCGACAGCCGACCGAAGAGGAAUAAAUCUUAACAUUGGUGGCACGUAUAUAAAUAAUGAUAUUGACAUUAAAACAUGUUUGGAAUAAUGUCAUAUAAAGAGCAUACAGCAUUUGUGGUAAAGACUUACAACGUCAUAAAAGUAGAAACUUCAACAUGAAGUAUGCUGCUAACAAAUUAUACAGGAACGUGCAUAUAGAUCAAACAAACGCUAAACGAGAGAAAAUCGUAAAUAUUAUAAUAACGCUGCACAUCGUUAUAGAUUUUGACUUGAAACGAGAAAAGCAUCCACUACAGUCGAUUAUGCAUAGCCAUUUUGUGUGAAAUACGUGUAUUAAUAUGUUUUAAAAUUGAGCCAAAUUAGUUAGUAUGAUUAUUGCUUUUGAAUGACUAAUAUUAUUUAAUAUCGUAACAAAGUUCGACCACACUGAUCUGGCACCCGUGAAAUCCAUAAACGCUUGUAUUGUUUCCUAUAUUAUAUAUUGCAAUUCAUUUUGUUCGUGAACGUUGUGCACGAUUUUAGAGAAAAUAAUAGUUUAUUAAGUGAAGUACGCCUCGACCUUUUUUAAUUGAUUCUUUUUCCGAAACAUAUAUACGAUACUAACACCUAUUAAUGCAUAAAGGUUAGUAAAAGACGUAACUGUACAAUAAAGCAGUGAAAAUUA